UACGUAGGUCCCGAGUGUUGUCCGGAUUUAUUGGGCGUAAAGCGAGCGCAGGUGGUUUAUUAAGUCUGGUGUAAAAGGCAGUGGCUCAACCAUUGUAUGUAUUGGAAACUGGUAGACUUGAGUGCAGGAGAGGAGAGUGGAAUUCCAUGUGUAGCGGUGAAAUGCGUAGAUAUAUGGAGGAACACCGGUGGCGAAAGCGGCUCUCUGGCCUGUAACUGACACUGAGGCUCGAAAGCGUGGGGAGCAAACAGG
This 252-nucleotide ribosomal RNA is filed under the name uncultured bacterium. RNAcentral's name for it is "partial 16S ribosomal RNA". It matches the Rfam family "Bacterial small subunit ribosomal RNA", at positions 524 to 776 of the family's 1533-position model. The record is from RNAcentral.